Molecule: long non-coding RNA, 1253 nt
Organism: Spea bombifrons (plains spadefoot toad)
Lineage: Eukaryota; Metazoa; Chordata; Amphibia; Anura; Pelobatidae
Exons: 2
Source: RefSeq, a predicted model, not a curated record
ACUUUGGACAUGUGAACUUUCCUCACACGGACACAACCGAUUAUGAAGACGUUGAAAUGAUGGAUAUUCGAGCCGGUUUCUGGCAGUACCUGGGAACUGUUUGGGUUUGCCCCAGGGUCUCCAGGUUUUUGCCUCAACCUCAGGGUGAAGGGGCAGAUUUUCCACAUCACAUCAUCUGGAGUCAUUUCUAUCUUACACCGCAAUGAUCAUAUAGACUCCAAAUUGGUGCUUUUUGCCCUGUAUGUUGUGGAUAAUAUCCCUGCUUAAAUGCAGGUGACUAUUAAGUCUAUUAAUUGAAAUAAUGACAAGUUAAGGUUUCUAUGAGGGCUGGCAUUACAGCCAUUAGGGCAACACAUUUGACAUAUCACUACAUAUAAUCGGCAUGACGGGCUAUUAAAAGGGUUAAUAUUUCAAGAGUCUCGGGGUCAGCUCAUUUAGAAAGUUCCCAGGUAUAAACAUUCCCCAUUAAUGAUUUAUUCUUUUGUCGUUAAAUGUCACAGGAAGCCAGCCUCAUCUUGCUCAUCUUUUAACCAGCACAGUCUAUGCAACUUGGCCGUUAUACUUGUCUCCGUUUGAUGAAUUUGAAGGUCCCAUUGAUAACCUUCAUCACGCAAGCCAAGAGGUAACUCUCUUCAAGAUUGCCCACUGAGAAACUGAGCAACGCCAGGACGCUAAAAUAUUACUAGGUAAUCGCUUAAACGUUCUUGCCAGAGGAGAGACUUUUUUUUGCGCCUUCUAGGCAAUUGUAGAAAGCAAGACCUGUUACAACUAAUUUCAAAAGAGUGGCCUUUAGUUAAUAAAAAUAUAUUUUAAAAAACCCAUCAAUUUUGAAAAGAUAAAACAGAGAUGCUGUGUCCGGAUUCCAAUACUUUUAUUUUAUUCUUUAAAUUACUUUUAUCCACUCAGUACAUAACGUAAGAUUAAACUGUGAAAUAAAACGAUAAUAUUAUUAUUAGAAUAUAUAUAUAUAUAUUCUCCUUUAUUUCAUGUUCGAGGGCACACUGUAUACAUUUUAACUUAUUCUUAAUACAAUUUGCAGCUAAUAGUACGGUGUCCAUUUAAAAGAUUAAAAGCCAUUGUUUCUAGCAGCAGUAUUUGAUCCACAAAAUCUCCCAGAAUAAAAUAUUUCACACAAAAAAAAAAAAAAAUCUACUGCCACAUGAAAAAUGUGUACAGCCGUUACAUGUGUAAAUUUUGCCAGAAAAUAAAAGAAAAAGAUUAGGUAACAUCUCCAAAAAUAAAUUAAUUUGUUG